CGAAUUGUCUUGUGCACAGUGUCAUCAUUGUGAACUCUUGUGAGGGAAAGAGGAGUGUUGCUCUCGGACUCAUCUGCCUCAACAUCAACAGAUCUGAACACCCAGAGCCAUCUUUUUACAAGAUCAGGCCCCCCACUUAGUGUAUUUGACAAGCUGAGUUUGACACUCUGUAUCAGUGAGUGUCAGUUUGUCAAAUACCCCAAGUGAGGUGUCACUUGUCUACAGAUUUAACCCUUACUGGGUCACGCAACAGACUGAGCAGGCAACUCCCCUGGGUGAUCUACCACACCAAGGAAACUGAAAACAUCAAGGCAACAAAAGCAAAAACUUUUCUUGUAAAUGUUUUGAGGAUAUGGACAAGGAACAACGUUUACAGUGGUUAAAGUGGUAGCGCUGAAGAUGCACAAAUGCUUAACUGCCAGUUAGUUAGUAAAUCAAAUGCAAAAUUACUCUCACAUAUCAUUGUUUUAAUGAACAGAAAGAAUAAUUCUAUCCCAUGAGAAUCUAAAUAUGUGUAAAAGAGGACUCACCAAAGGCUUCAUAGAGAUGUUUGAAAAAGAGAGGUAUGUUAAAAGGUUUAUUGACCAAAGAGUAGCCUAUCCUUCCCUUUUCAGUUUUUUUAUAGGCUUACAGCACAGUCACUAGGUAGCUCAGCAAAACAUGCCACGUUUUUAGGACAAGUAAGGCUACUCUGAUUCCAUCGUUUGGUAUGUUCUUGCAUCAUUUUUAUUUUAUUUUCUGACACAAUUUUUACUCUGAGGGUUACAGAGGUUAAAAUAAGCUUUUGCAAUGUAUUCUUGAAACUAAUGAGAACGACCUGUCAUAUACAAUGAGCUGUUGCUGGACAUGCAAGUGAGAUCAAAUGAAAAAGCUAAAUUAUAUUAUGUGUAUUUUAUUGUGUACAAGCAAAACCAUGUAAAGACUAAAGGGAUGCUAAGUUUUUAGGUGCUUGCGUCAUUUGUUCCAUUCAAUAUUUUGCUAAAUUGUUAUGUUCAGCCCUGAUGAAAGUGAACUUUCUCUCUGCCAAGAUGUGGGACUGGUUUUCUUUUAAUUUUUUUUCAUUUCCAUUGUGAAAAUCUGACUUGGACUUAGUCGAGAUACAGAGAUGAAGAGAAUAAAAGCAAAAUAUACAGUGACCCUGGAAUUUAGGCCCUAUGUGUGAUAACAUGAUCUGCCAAAAUGCAUCAACCAUGUACAAUAAAGGUUAAUGAGGUGCAGUUUUUACAGGCUGAUCUAUGAAGGGCCAUGCUUGUAUUCAAAAGCUGCUGGAAGUGUUGUACAUAGAAGCUUAUCAUUUAACUGACUUCUAAAAGAUGACACUUAUCGGUCCGCCUUGCAUUUCCUGUUCCUGUGGGGACAUGUAUUUCUAUAUGUGUAAGAACAAAUGUGUAUGCCUGUUUAUACUGAAAUACCAAUUAUUAUCUACAUUCUCACUAAGUGUUUCUGACUUCUGUUGCAUCAAAUGACGCUUCAUUAAUAUUUUAAUUUAUUUCUUGGUAUAUUUAGCAGGGACGGUGCAUAUUGAUAAAACACUCCUGUAAAAAGCAGUAAAAUUAGUCAUGAAGUUUUUUUCAUCUGUAGUCCCUUUUAAGUCAUCCUAAAAAAGAGAAUUUAAGACUGAAUUUGCAAAGUUAUUAAUAUAAUUUAUAAAAAUGCUGAAUAAUAAUAAGUUAAUUGAAACAUCCUUAUGGACAACCUUAUUUUGCAUUUUCAGUAACUUUUUAAAACACAGAGGCCCAUAAUGCAAAAGCACGUACAAAACAAAAGGAAAUAUCAUAUGGACUAAAUAAGACAACACUAACAUGACACAUGCAGAGCAGAAGCACAGACAUAAAAAAAAAGAUUCACAAUCCACAUACGUCUAUAAAAUAAAUCAUAAAUUUAAACAAAACCACAAUAAAAGUCAUACACACAGGUACAUGAGGGCAGACUGGCGAUAGUAGUAUAAGUUUAAAAGUUCUAAAUCAUGAUCAGUGGGCAGCACACACAUCUACUACUAUCAUCACUAUUUUGGCUGGUAACACACCAUGCAAGUCAUGAGCACUUCAGAAAUGAACACUGCUGCAGUGGUACACCUCUGCAUCAAACUUUUGCACCUCCUUUAAUCUAUCAUGUGUUGAGCAUGCUUGGUAUAAACAUAAUUAAGUGGAUGAUGUACAGUCGAGUUUUAUCUGCACGGCUUAAUGUGCAGAUGGUGAAGAUGAUAUAUUUUUUAUCACACUCUCAUAUGCCGUUACAUCACAACUGAUUUCUGACUAUUAGGGGAUGUUUAAUUCCAAUUGGAGUAUUUCGAAAAUAAUUUUUUUACAUGUUUUGCAGUGCUAAGCACUGUAGCCAGAAACCAUAUCAUGUUGCUCUUAUUUCUUUCCAGAUUUCUUUUUUUGAAGGUUGUUCAAAUGUCAAGUUGUGCUGUAUACUGUAAGCGAGUCUUGUCUAGUUUCCAAGGCUGUUGGAAAUGUUCUUAGAAUAACAUUGGUCUGAAACAGGACUUUAACACAUGUUUUAAAGUCAUCUGAAUAGUUUGCAUAUGGAUCUUUUUUUUUUUUUGGAUCAGUUAUCCAUUAAACUCAAACUUAGCACAGACAUCAACAAUAAAUGUACCUUAUUCAAAUUGUUGAGCCACACAGGCUGUACUUUUGGACCAGUUGUCCUCAACCGUUGCAAUUUCAUUGCACAAAUUGUGCAUUAUAGUACUUAUCUGUGUUUCCAAGAAGUCAAACCUCAUCUGCAAUAAUACCUGACACCAUAAUACACCAAAGAUAUCUGUGCAUCACUCACACUUGUUAUAUUAUAGUGUGUGAAGUAAUUCAGUGUGAAGUAAACAGGUUAUAUGUGGUCAAUGGUGGCGGUUGUGUGCAUGAAAUUGUUAAAAAUGUCACUACACAAUGUAAAAAGUCUCUUUUGUCUGCAUUUUGAUUCAAGCUGCCGGCUUUUCUAUAUAUCAACUGUGUUCUGUCUUGCAUUUAUGACUGUAAUUCUACAAGCAACCUCUGUUUGCCCAGUAAGUGGUGGUAGAGCUCUAUUCUUUGAUUUGUCCCAUUCAUGAGACCAGCUUCAUAUUAAAAAGUUUGAUAGUGAACACAAUACACACAA
Dicentrarchus labrax (European seabass) is the source of this 3093-nucleotide long non-coding RNA. RefSeq lists it as uncharacterized. The transcript has 2 exons. Lineage: Eukaryota; Metazoa; Chordata; Actinopteri; Moronidae. The record is from RefSeq and is a predicted model, not a curated record.